RNAcentral lists this transfer RNA (88 nucleotides) under Escherichia coli. Its description in RNAcentral is "tRNA-OTHER". It matches the Rfam family "tRNA". Rfam says of the family: Transfer RNA (tRNA) molecules are approximately 80 nucleotides in length. Their secondary structure includes four short double-helical elements and three loops (D, anti-codon, and T loops). The record is from RNAcentral. Lineage: Bacteria; Pseudomonadati; Pseudomonadota; Gammaproteobacteria; Enterobacterales; Enterobacteriaceae.
GGUGAGGUGUCCGAGUGGCUGAAGGAGCACGCCCUGGAAAGUGUGUAUACGGCAACGUAUCGGGGGUUCGAAUCCCCCCUCACCGCCA